UACGAAGGGUGCAAGCGUUAAUCGGAAUUACUGGGCGUAAAGGGUGCGUAGGCGGUUGUUUAAGUCUGUCGUGAAAUCCCCGGGCUCAACCUGGGAAUGGCAGUGGAUACUGGGAGGCUGAGAGUGUGUCAGAGGAUGGUGGAAUUCCCGGUGUAGAGGUGAAAUUCGUAGAUAUCGGGAGGAACACCAGUGGCGAAGGCGGCGAUCUGGGAAGAUACUGACGCUGAGGUGCGAAAGCGUGGGGAGCAAACAGG
This 254-nucleotide ribosomal RNA is filed under the name uncultured bacterium. RNAcentral's name for it is "partial 16S ribosomal RNA". It matches the Rfam family "Bacterial small subunit ribosomal RNA", at positions 524 to 776 of the family's 1533-position model. The record is from RNAcentral.